RNAcentral lists this ribosomal RNA (254 nucleotides) under uncultured bacterium. Its description in RNAcentral is "partial 16S ribosomal RNA". It matches the Rfam family "Bacterial small subunit ribosomal RNA", at positions 524 to 776 of the family's 1533-position model. The record is from RNAcentral.
GACGAACCGUGCGACCGUUAUUCGGAAUCACUGGGCUUAAAGCGCGUGUAGGCGGGCCGGCGCGUCGGUCGCUGAAAUCCCCCGGCUCAACCGGGGAAGGGGCACCGAUACGGCCGGCCUGGAGGGGGGUAGGGGGCGCUGGAACUCACGGUGGAGCGGUGAAAUGCGUUGAGAUCGUGAGGAACGCCCGCGGCGAAAGCGAGCGCCUGGACCCUUUCUGACGCUGAGACGCGAAAGCCAGGGGAGCGAACGGG